CGGCAGAUAUGCAAACUGGAUGAAGCAAGCGGUCUGUAAAACCGUCGCCCUCGGGCUUGCAGGUUCGAGUCCUGCUCUGCCGACUA
RNAcentral lists this transfer RNA (86 nucleotides) under Sarcina sp. Its description in RNAcentral is "tRNA-Tyr". It matches the Rfam family "tRNA". Rfam says of the family: Transfer RNA (tRNA) molecules are approximately 80 nucleotides in length. Lineage: Bacteria; Bacillati; Bacillota; Clostridia; Eubacteriales; Clostridiaceae. The record is from RNAcentral.